GAAUAUAGUGUCUCUAAAAUACACACAGCUCACACUUAUAGAGGCAAAACAGGGAGAGAUGAAGAGCCAGAUUUUGUGGUGGCACCUAACGAGACUGACGAGUUAAAAUGUGGUUUGACAACAGGAAAUGCUAAUGCUCUAUUAACCACUAACAUAACAGUGUGUUUGAACAAGACAGGGUACAAUUAACAGGUGCAGCCGGUCCCAUGCACAACUACAACUCACACAAAGCUGUGAACGAUCAUCAGUGUUUAAACUCUCAAAACUGCCCUAAAUCGAUCUCGGUCAACUUGCCUGUUUCUCACAAGGAGGAGCGGUGGGGAAAAACACUUCCAUCCAUCCCCUUUCUGGUGUGGAAGUCAAGCAGCAUAAUCCAACAUGAUGUGAAAAACCACAAUGCUCCACUGCAGCCUGCGAAUGGAAGACGACCACAGAGACGGUGGUGGACGGGUGGAAGGGUUUGUUCAUCAGCAGCAGCUCUUUGGCAGCGAAGAAGGAGGCGGAGAUCGACGGUAGCUCUUUGAUCGUGACGUUGGCCGGCAGAGCGGGGUCCAGGG
Lates calcarifer (barramundi perch) is the source of this 557-nucleotide long non-coding RNA. RefSeq lists it as uncharacterized. NCBI's taxonomy places the organism in Eukaryota, Metazoa, Chordata, Actinopteri, Centropomidae. The transcript is spliced from 3 exons. The record is from RefSeq and is a predicted model, not a curated record.